GAUGAACGCUAGCGACGUGCCUAACACAUGCAAGUCGCACGAGAAAGCGGACUUCGGUCUGCAAGUACAGUGGCGCACGGGUGAGUAACACGUGAAUUAUCUACCUUCGAGUGGGGAAUAACCUCGGGAAACCGAGGCUAAUACCGCAUAACACUUACGAGUCAAAGCAGCAAUGCGCUUGAAGAGGAGUUCGCGGCAGAUUAGUUAGUUGGCGGGGUAAUGGCCCACCAAGACGAUGAUCUGUAUCCGGCCUGAGAGGGCGCACGGACACACUGGAACUGAAACACGGUCCAGACUCCUACGGGAGGCAGCAGUGGGGAAUUUUGCGCAAUGGGGGAAACCCUGACGCAGCAACGCCGCGUGGAGGAUGAAAUCCCUUGGGAUGUAAACUCCUUUCGAUCGGGACGAUUAUGACGGUACCGGAAGAAGAAGCCCCGGCUAACUUCGUGCCAGCAGCCGCAGUAA
This 465-nucleotide ribosomal RNA is filed under the name uncultured bacterium. Its description in RNAcentral is "partial 16S ribosomal RNA". It matches the Rfam family "Bacterial small subunit ribosomal RNA", at positions 28 to 523 of the family's 1533-position model. The record is from RNAcentral.